AGUGAACGCUGGCGGUAGGCCUAACACAUGCAAGUCGAACGGCAGCACAGUAAGAGCUUGCUCUUACGGGUGGCGAGUGGCGGACGGGUGAGGAAUACAUCGGAAUCUACUUUUUCGUGGGGGAUAACGUAGGGAAACUUACGCUAAUACCGCAUACGACCUACGGGUGAAAGCAGGGGAUCUUCGGACCUUGCGCGAUUGAAUGAGCCGAUGUCGGAUUAGCUAGUUGGCGGGGUAAAGGCCCACCAAGGCGACGAUCCGUAGCUGGUCUGAGAGGAUGAUCAGCCACACUGGAACUGAGACACGGUCCAGACUCCUACGGGAGGCAGCAGUGGGGAAUAUUGGACAAUGGGCGCAAGCCUGAUCCAGCCAUACCGCGUGGGUAAAGAAGGCCUUCGGGUUGUAAAGCCCUUUUGUUGGGAAAGAAAAGCAGCAGGUUAAUACCCCGCUGUUCUGACGGUACCCAAAGAAUAAGCACCGGCGAACUUCG
This 490-nucleotide ribosomal RNA is filed under the name uncultured bacterium. RNAcentral's name for it is "partial 16S ribosomal RNA". It matches the Rfam family "Bacterial small subunit ribosomal RNA", at positions 29 to 505 of the family's 1533-position model. The record is from RNAcentral.